RNAcentral lists this ribosomal RNA (649 nucleotides) under uncultured bacterium. RNAcentral's name for it is "bacterial SSU rRNA". It matches the Rfam family "Bacterial small subunit ribosomal RNA", at positions 118 to 761 of the family's 1533-position model. The record is from RNAcentral.
UGGGAAUCUGCCUAUUAGUGGGGGAUAAGCUGGGGAAACCCAGUCUAAUACCGCAUACGCACUACGGUGGAAAGGGGCCCUCUCCUUGGAAGGUCUCGCUAAUAGAUGAGCCCGCGUCGGAUUAGCUAGUUGGUGGGGUAAAGGCCCACCAAGGCGACGAUCCGUAGCUGGUCUGAGAGGAUGAUCAGCCACACUGGGACUGAGACACGGCCCAGACUCCUACGGGAGGCAGCAGUAGGGAAUAUUGGACAAUGGAGGAAACUCUGAUCCAGCCAUGCCGCGUGUGUGAAGAAGGCCCUAGGGUUGUAAAGCACUUUCAGUAGGGAGGAAACGCCUACGGUUAAUACCCGUGGGCUAUGACGUUACCUACAGAAGAAGCACCGGCUAAUUUCGUGCCAGCAGCCGCGGUAAUACGAAAGGUGCAAGCGUUAAUCGGAAUUACUGGGCGUAAAGCGUAAGUAGGCGGUUGAUUAAGCAGGAUGUGAAAGCCCCGAGCUCAACUUGGGAACUGCAUCCUGAACUGGUCAACUAGAGUACAGCAGAGGAGAGUGGAAUUUCUCGUGUAGCGGUGAAAUGCGUAGAUAUGAGAAGGAACACCAGUGGCGAAGGCGACUCUCUGGGUUGAUACUGACGCUGAGGUACGAAAGCG